RNAcentral lists this ribosomal RNA (373 nucleotides) under uncultured organism. Its description in RNAcentral is "bacterial SSU rRNA". It matches the Rfam family "Bacterial small subunit ribosomal RNA", at positions 526 to 896 of the family's 1533-position model. The record is from RNAcentral.
CAGAGGUGCCAAGCGUUAGGCGGAAUCACUGGGCUUAAAGCGCGUGUAGGCGGGUCGUUAAGUGUCCGAGUGAAAUCCCACGGCUCAACCGUGGAACUGCCGGGCAUACUGGCGAUCUUGAGGCAUUCAGGGGCGAGCGGAACAAAUGGUGGAGCGGUGAAAUGCGUAGAUAUCAUUUGGAACGCCAAUGGUGAAAACAGCUCGCUGGGAAUGAUCUGACGCUGAGACGCGAAAGCCAGGGGAGCGAACGGGAUUAGAUACCCCGGUAGUCCUGGCCCUAAACGAUGUCCACUAGAUCGUGGCACCUUUGACGGUGUCAUGGUCGGAGCAAAAGUGUUAAGUGGACCGCCUGGGAAGUACGGUCGCAAGGCUA